GGGUACUUGGUCGAGUCAGGUUUAAGGCGCUCGUUUUGAAAACGAGUACUUGCAAAAGUCGUGAGUUCAAAUCUCACAGUGUCCG
RNAcentral lists this transfer RNA (85 nucleotides) under Russula sp. RNAcentral describes it as "tRNA-Ser". It matches the Rfam family "tRNA". Rfam says of the family: Transfer RNA (tRNA) molecules are approximately 80 nucleotides in length. Their secondary structure includes four short double-helical elements and three loops (D, anti-codon, and T loops). Further hydrogen bonds mediate the characteristic L-shaped molecular structure. tRNAs have two regions of fundamental functional importance: the anti-codon, which is responsible for specific mRNA codon recognition, and the 3' end, to which the tRNAs corresponding amino acid is attached (by aminoacyl-tRNA synthetases). tRNAs cope with the degeneracy of the genetic code in two manners: having more than one tRNA (with a specific anti-codon) for a particular amino acid; and 'wobble' base-pairing, i.e. permitting non-standard base-pairing at the 3rd anti-codon position. The record is from RNAcentral. Lineage: Eukaryota; Fungi; Basidiomycota; Agaricomycetes; Russulales; Russulaceae.